GUGCUGAAACAGUGAACCUGACCGGGAAGAGCACCUGAAAAUGGCCACCUUUAAUUACCGGCUGAGCCGUGCCAGCCGGCUCAUAGAAAAUGCGUUUGGGAUCAUGGCCAGCGGGUGGCGAAUUCUACGAAGAGCAUUUCGGGCCUCGGAAAAAACAACAAAAAUAUUGUGAAGGCGUGCGUUGCUUUGCACAACUUUCUGCUCAAGAAUUCUGCCAUGUCAAGGUCAGCGUACAAUCCUCCGGGCUAUGCGGACAGCGAGGACUGGCAAGGAAAUCUCACACAUGGGUCAUGGAGAAAUGACAGGGGGCUGCCGUUGAGGGACAUGGCAGGCCUGGGGUCCCACUCUCCCGAGUAAUUGUUCCAGCAGAUGGGCCGCGGGGAUAAAAAAGUGAUAUUCAGGACUGCUUUGGCAGUACGGGACUGACUGGCCACAUACUUCCUCAACGAUGGAAAGGUCCCGUGGCAAGAAAGAAUCGUAACUCGAGCGGGACAGCAGGAAACAACGCAAGUACCGGGAUGAUGGCACUUGGUCAGCAGGCCUCUUGGCUUAUCUGGGCAAACCAAAGGAAGCAAAUCAGCCAGGACGUACAAGAAUAUUGAAGACAUGAUUUUCUUACCGUGAAGGACCUACAUCGGCUCCCGUGCCUGGGUGUUCAUAGAUGCUGCAAAAUAAAGGCAGACUGUGAAUUUGUGCUUCAGUAUUCUAAGAGGAGUAUGCAGUGCACCUUGCAGCACCAAUAAAUGAUUGAGACCGCACA
Long non-coding RNA from Ixodes scapularis (black-legged tick), 760 nucleotides. RefSeq lists it as uncharacterized. The transcript is spliced from 3 exons. The record is from RefSeq and is a predicted model, not a curated record. Lineage: Eukaryota; Metazoa; Arthropoda; Arachnida; Ixodida; Ixodidae.